GUGUCAGCAGCCGCGGUAAGACAGAGGCCACGAGCGUUAGGCGGAAUCACUGGGCUUAAAGCGUGUGUAGGCGGACCGUUAAGUGCCCGUGUGAAAUCCCCCGGCUCAACCGGGGAACGGCCGGGCAUACUGGCGGUCUUGGGCCAGCUAGGGGUCAUCGGAACAAACGGUGGAGCGGUGAAAUGCGUAGAUAUCGUUUGGAACGCCGACGGUGAAAACAGAUGACUGGGGCUGUGCCGACGCUGAGACACGAAAGCCAGGGGAGCAAACGGGAUUAGAAACCCCCGUAGUCC
RNAcentral lists this ribosomal RNA (293 nucleotides) under uncultured bacterium. Its description in RNAcentral is "partial 16S ribosomal RNA". It matches the Rfam family "Bacterial small subunit ribosomal RNA", at positions 505 to 796 of the family's 1533-position model. The record is from RNAcentral.